This 554-nucleotide ribosomal RNA is filed under the name uncultured bacterium. RNAcentral's name for it is "partial 16S ribosomal RNA". It matches the Rfam family "Bacterial small subunit ribosomal RNA", at positions 355 to 902 of the family's 1533-position model. The record is from RNAcentral.
UGGGGAAUUUUGGACAAUGGGCGAAAGCCUGAUCCAGCAAUGCCGCGUGUGUGAAGAAGGCCUUCGGGUUGUAAAGCACUUUUGUCCGGAAAGAAAUCCUCUGGGUUAAUACCUCGGGGGGAUGACGGUACCGGAAGAAUAAGCACCGGCUAACUACGUGCCAGCAGCCGCGGUAAUACGUAGGGUGCAAGCGUUAAUCGGAAUUACUGGGCGUAAAGCGUGCGCAGGCGGUUUUGUAAGACGGAUGUGAAAUCCCCGGGCUUAACCUGGGAACUGCAUUCGUGACUGCAAGGCUAGAGUAUGGCAGAGGGGGGUAGAAUCCCACGUGUAGCAGUGAAAUGCGUAGAGAUGUGGAGGAAUACCGAUGGCGAAGGCAGCCCCCUGGGCCAAUACUGACGCUCAUGCACGAAAGCGUGGGGAGCAAACAGGAUUAGAUACCCUGGUAGUCCACGCCCUAAACGAUGUCAACUAGUUGUUGGGGAUUCAUUUCCUUAGUAACGUAGCUAACGCGUGAAGUUGACCGCCUGGGGAGUACGGUCGCAAGAUUAAAACUU